RNAcentral lists this transfer RNA (74 nucleotides) under Candidatus Yanofskybacteria bacterium RIFCSPHIGHO2_01_FULL_41_53. RNAcentral's name for it is "tRNA-Met". It matches the Rfam family "tRNA". Rfam says of the family: Transfer RNA (tRNA) molecules are approximately 80 nucleotides in length. Their secondary structure includes four short double-helical elements and three loops (D, anti-codon, and T loops). The record is from RNAcentral. Lineage: Bacteria; Candidatus Yanofskyibacteriota. RNAcentral also lists the same sequence under 5 other names.
CGCGGGGUGGAGAAAUGGCAUCUUGCAGGGCUCAUAACCCUGAGUUCCGGGUUCGAAUCCCGGCCCCGCAACUA